UGGGGAAUAUUGGACAAUGGGCGCAAGCCUGAUCCAGCCAUGCCGCGUGAGUGAUGAAGGCCCUAGGGUUGUAAAGCUCUUUCACCGGUGAAGAUAAUGACGGUAACCGGAGAAGAAGCCCCCGGCUAACUUCGUGCCAGCAGCCGCGGUAAUACGAAGGGGGCCUAGCGUUGUUCGGAAUUACUGGGCGUAAAGCGCACGUAGGCGGACAUUUAAGUCAGGGGUGAAAUCCCGGGGCUCAACCCCCGGAACUGCCUUUGAUACUGGGUGUCUAGAGUUCGAGAGAGGUGAGUGGAAUUCCGAGUGUAGAGGUGAAAUUCGUAGAUAUUCGGAGGAACACCAGUGGCGAAGGCGGCUCACUGGCUCGAUACUGACGCUGAGGUGCGAAAGCGUGGGGAGCAAAGCAGGAUUAGAUACCCUGGUAGUCCACGCCGUAAACGAUGGAAGCCAGCUGUCGGCAAGUUUACUUGUCGGUGGCGCAGCUAACGCAUUAAGCUUCCCCGCCU
Molecule: ribosomal RNA, 506 nt
Filed under: uncultured bacterium
Lineage: Bacteria
Description: partial 16S ribosomal RNA
Rfam family: Bacterial small subunit ribosomal RNA
Source: RNAcentral